UACAGAGGGUGCGAGCGUUAAUCGGAAUUACUGGGCGUAAAGCGCACGUAGGUGGCGACGUAAGUCGGGUGUGAAAGCCCCGGGCUCAACCUGGGAAUUGCAUUCGAGACUGCAUUGCUGGAGUACGGAAGAGGAGGGCGGAAUUCCCGGUGUAGCGGUGAAAUGCGUAGAUAUCGGGAGGAACAUCAGUGGCGACGGCGGCCCUCUGGUCCAGUACUGACACUCAAGUGCGAAAGCGCGGGGAGCCUACAGG
RNAcentral lists this ribosomal RNA (253 nucleotides) under uncultured bacterium. RNAcentral describes it as "partial 16S ribosomal RNA". It matches the Rfam family "Bacterial small subunit ribosomal RNA", at positions 524 to 776 of the family's 1533-position model. The record is from RNAcentral.